UGGUAUACUCCCCUCUCAUUCUACUAUAGCAGUUUACGCAGCACCACGUCACCUCAGUAAAUCCAGCCUGUUUACACAGUGUUUUCCACUGGAGAUGUUUCUUCUUGUAUUACACUGCGUUUCUCUGGUGAUAGCGCCAGUAUCCCUCCCUGUCCACAUAGGUUUCAUAAAGGGCUGCUCUCUUUGACACUGUUAUGUGUGUUGUGUAUCAUCUUGUCUAUGUUUCCUGCUCAGAUGUGAUUCUGUGAGAAUAGGAACACAUUAUGGCUCAUGAAGGGAGAUGUGUCUCUGGCUGUUGGGUUAUUUCUAUCCCCAUAACAGGAAGUACAACUGAACUCACGACCUUUAAGUCUCAGGUCAGGGGUCGUUAUCACCCAUGGAACAUUUUUGGCCUACAAACAUGAUGUGCAAUGUGAGUGUGUCAGGCUGUGACUGUAGCCUGUGUGUCUUUUAUACCACAGGUGGGUUUAAUCCUGAAUGCUGAUUGGUUAAAACAGCAUUCCAGCUGGUGUCUAUUCCACAUGUUACCACCGGCUAAAUCUAUGAUGUUAAAAUGUAUAUUUACUCUGAUCCAUCUGACUGUGCAAUCCAGUGCCCCGUCAGCCCAGCCAGGCAAUUUUAUAAACUUGAUCUCCGAUUCAAAAACAAACAAAAAAAAAAAAAGUAUCUAGACAUUAUUUCACAUUUCUGUCAAAAUCAUGAAUCAGCUGGCAUCGUUUUCUCGUAUAUAUGUGGACUGAUUCAGGAAACUAGGCGUAUGUCGCAAGUCACGAAUUCACAGGAGAGCCGUUUUGAACAUAAUUUUUUAAAAUCAAAAUGCGUUUCUGGCAGAAAUGCCUUCUCGAACAUUUGAACUUUCAUAUGCCUUAACAACAAACUUUUAUGCCAUCUGUAAAUACGAAUAAAGUUGAUAAAUUAAGAGCGUAGUUGGUUUAGCCAAAGAAAAAGCAGGAACGUUCCCGCUAGCCAUAAUUGUCCGAGAUAAUGAGUGGCUGGACAUGCCGAGAGAUGAGUUUCAGAUUGUUCUGCGGUGUAGCAUUUUUAUGUCUACAAAAUGAGCUGCUCAUUAUGCGUAGAUAAUCCUUUCUACUGCAUUUUUUUUCUAAAGAUAUAACGUUAGCCAUGGAGAACUGCAAAUAUGUUGCUACUGCUCUCAAUAACAUUGCUGCCCUGAAUUUAUCAAGCGCUAUCGACAAAGGUCAGUGUGAAAAAGUUGUGAUGGGCUUCUUUCUGGAGGACGAUCGUGCCAUGCUGACUCUCUCUGACUCUGAAAAUGAAUCAGACGAUGAGGAAAUAAAACAUUUUCAUUGAAGAAUACAUUGUAGAGUCUUCUGAUGACGGUGAUGGGGAAGAAACGGCGAUCAACAGUGUUGUCACGGAAGAAGUUGACAGAGUUUUGAAAUCAGUGGAACACAACAGGCCAAACAAACCGUGCAGACUAAACGGAAAUGACACAGGACGUCUUAUUUAAUGAAAGGGGUUGUAGUCUGCCGUGAAGCGUUCAUCCAUGUAUACGGUAGAACCAGCCUUACUCCUCUCCACCAGUCAUAUAAGGAGAACGGUCUAAUGCCUUCCAUCAAAAAGAGAGCUGGCCCAAGCAAGCAAAGGCAGCAGCGCAGGUAUCAACUACAUGCACCAUUUCUUCACCAACUAUGGAGUUGGGGAACCGUGUGUGGACCUGAAUUGUUAUAACUGCAGUGGUCAAUACCAGAACAAGUUUGUGCUCUGGUAUUGUGCCUGGUAUGCACAAGCUCCACCAGUCUGGACCUUCACUACCUGAUCACAGGCCACACCAAGUUUGCCCCCGACUGGUGCUUCGGCCUCAUCAAGCAGUGCUUCAGAAAGACCAAAGUGGACACAGCUAGACAAACUUAUUUUUUGGAGAAGAUCAGGGAGUUUUGCGACAGAGGCUAUGGACAUCACAUACCCUACACCAAAGUCAAGGGCAGAACAAAAACAGGCUCUCCGAAUAUAGAUUCCCUUGUUCAUGCAUGGUUCAGACGAACCAGUCAUCAGCAGUAUCUGCAGUGCCUCUAUUCAAAGGACUCUCUCCUAACACACACGCCAUACGUUGCUGCUCCUAUUAUUAUUAUUUUUUUAUCCUGCUGCUCAGCCACUUUACCCCUGAUUGUAUGCAUAUAACCACCUCGUCUAUCACUGAUAUCGUUAUUGAUCUUGUUCUUGUACAUACUGUAUUUUAUUUUGACACUAUAUUUCUGAUAUUGCUACUAUGCAAGUAACCAUUUGUCUGUACCGUUUGCACCUUCUGUAGAGACCCAUCCACUUAGCAAGACUUAGCAAAAUAUUGAUAUUUAAAAGUAAUAUUGAUAUGUGUGGUCGUAACAUGAUUUUGUUACAUACCACAACAAUAUCAUGUGACUGUAUCAAGUGUCCACCACAUAAAUAUAUGGCGCAUGCAUCUGUUUAUGUACUGUACAUAUGCACCUCACUCAAGUUUCAACUCAGGCUGCACAGCCUUACCUUGUGUAUGGAAUACUAUGUGAUAGGUGCGUGUGUAACAGUAUAUAAACUAUGCUAAUGUACUGGUGUGAAGGCAUUUGGGCAGUGGUCAAAAGUAAUUUAAGUAAUACUUUAAAGUACUACAAGUAUGUUUUGGGGGUAUCUGUACAUUACUUUGCUAUUGAUAUGUUUGACAACCUUUACUUCACUACAUUCUGAAAGAAAUGUACUUUUUACUCCAUACAUUUUCCCUGAUACCUGAAAGUAAAUUUUGACAUUAAAAUUGUCCAAUUCACACACUUAUCAAGAGAACAUCCAUACUGCAUCUGGCAGACUCACUAAACACACAUGCUUCGUUUGUAAAUUUUGUCUGAGUGUUGGAUUGUGCCCCUGGCUAUCCUAAAAAAAAUUAAAGAGAAUAAUUGUGCCGUCUGGUUUAAUAUAAGAAAUUUGAAAUGAUUUAUACUUUUACUCAAGUAUGACAAUUAAGUACUUUUUCCACCACUGGAUGUGGCUGGGGGUAUAGCAUUUCUUUAACAUGACCCAUCAGUUUAGACAAGUGUCUCUGGGUAAGUAUCAUCUAAUAUUUAUAAAAUAUUUUUAUCUGGAUACAUUCGGUUUACCUGAAAUUUUUCCUUGUUGUAGGCUACUACCACUUUUAAUCUUAAUUCUUUACUACACUACUCACUGUUUAGCACAUGACCCCAUGUGAAUCCUUAAAGAGAAGGGCUGGCUUAAGAGGGUGUGAACAAUGCUGAAUGGGCGUAGACAAAGGAGAGCUCUGCAGUAGUCACCAAAACAUUCAAAGGCCCUUUUUAAUCAAAAGUGAGUUUACAAGUGUAUCACCCCUCAAAGCAGAAUUACUUUCCCAUUGUUCCUCAAAAAUGCUGUGUAUGAUAUACCAUUUUGUAGCUCUGAGUCUCUACUUUUAUCCAAUGUUAAAAAUAAAAAUGUUACAUUUUGCUA
Long non-coding RNA from Salvelinus fontinalis (brook trout), 3426 nucleotides. RefSeq lists it as uncharacterized. NCBI's taxonomy places the organism in Eukaryota, Metazoa, Chordata, Actinopteri, Salmoniformes, Salmonidae. The transcript is spliced from 2 exons. The record is from RefSeq and is a predicted model, not a curated record.